Molecule: long non-coding RNA, 481 nt
Filed under: Homo sapiens (human)
Lineage: Eukaryota; Metazoa; Chordata; Mammalia; Primates; Hominidae
Description: HSALNT0146507
Source: RNAcentral
CUUAAGAUUCCUCCGCGCACUGCGCUAGCGUCCCGGCAUUCUGCUUUCCGGCGCUCUGCCUUCCGGUGCGUCGUUUACGCCAGUUUGAACCAAAGACGCCCAAGGUUGAGGCCGAGUUCCAGAGCAUGGGGUCUCGGUUGUCCCAGCCUUUUGAGUCCUAUAUCACUGCGCCUCCCGGCAUUGCCACCUGGGGUAUCGUUGUCAUGGCAGACCCCAAAGGGAAGGCCUACCGCGUUGUUUGAAAGUACCACCAGUGAAUCUGUCUUCUGUCUCUGUCCCUUUCCCCGUGACACACACAGCAGGCAUGGAAUUUAAUGGGUGUUCUGGACAGACACUUGUACAUGGACAGACAUCACUACUGUGGAUACUACAAGACUGAGAAGAAAAUCGUAUGUUGUCAUUCUCUGGCUAUGGAGUGUUUGUGGCCUUCACAGAUUUCACAGGAACCAAUAAAUCCCUCAGAGAAGUAAACAGGUUCUUU